AUAUCAUUCAAGUUUCUGACCUAUCAGCUUUAGACGGUAGGGUAUUGGCCUACCGUGGCUAUGACGGGUAACGGGGAAUUAGGGUUCGAUUCCGGAGAGGGAGCCUGAGAAACGGCUACCACAUCUAAGGAAGGCAGCAGGCGCGCAAAUUACCCAAUCCUAAUACAGGGAGGUAGUGACAAGAAAUAACAAUACAGAGCCUUACGGUUUUGUAAUUGGAAUGAGUUAAGUAUAAACCCCUUAACAAGUAUCAAUUGGAGGGCAAGUCUGGUGCCAGCAGCCGCGGUAAUUCCAGCUCCAAUAGCGUAUAUUAAAGUUGUUGCAGUUAAAAAGCUCGUAGUUAAUUUUCUGUUAAUUUUUAUAUACAAUGCUACGGUAUUUAUAUAAUAUUAACAUAAUUCAUAUUACUUUUUUAGUAUAUGAAACUUUACUUUGAGAAAAUUAGAGUGCUUAAAGCAGGCUAUUGCCUUGAAUACUCCAGCAUGGAAUAAUAUUAAGGAUUUUUAUUCUUCUUAUUGGUUCUAGAAUAAAAAUAAUGAUUAAUAGGGACAGUUGGGGGCAUUUGUAUUUAACAGUCAGAGGUGAAAUUCUUAGAUUUGUUAAAGACAAACUACUGCGAAAGCAUUUGCCAAGGAUGUUUUCAUUAAUCAAGAACGAAAGUUAGGGGAUCGAAGACGAUCAGAUACCGUCGUAGUCUUAA
RNAcentral lists this ribosomal RNA (700 nucleotides) under Cryptosporidium ryanae. RNAcentral's name for it is "SSU rRNA". It matches the Rfam family "Eukaryotic small subunit ribosomal RNA", at positions 292 to 1029 of the family's 1831-position model. The record is from RNAcentral. Lineage: Eukaryota; Apicomplexa; Conoidasida; Eucoccidiorida; Cryptosporidiidae.